AUUGAACGCUGGCGGCAUGCUUUACACAUGCAAGUCGAACGGCAGCGCGGGCUUCGGCCUGGCGGCGAGUGGCGAACGGGUGAGUAAUACAUCGGAACGUGCCCAGUAGUGGGGGAUAGCUCGGCGAAAGCCGGAUUAAUACCGCAUACGACCUGAGGGUGAAAGCGGGGGAUCUUCGGACCUCGCGCUAUUGGAGCGGCCGAUGGCGGAUUAGCUAGUUGGUGGGGUAAAGGCCUACCAAGGCGACGAUCUGUAGCUGGUCUGAGAGGACGACCAGCCACACUGGGACUGAGACACAGCCCAGACUCCUACGGGAGGCAGCAGUGGGGAAUUUUGGACAAUGGGCGAAAGCCUGAUCCAGCAAUGCCGCGUGUGUGAUGAAGGCCUUCGGGUUGUAAAGCACUUUUGGCGGGAACGAAAAGGACUGUGCCAAUACCACGGUUCGAUGACGGUACCCGCAGAAUAAGCACCGGCUAACUACGUG
This 484-nucleotide ribosomal RNA is filed under the name uncultured bacterium. RNAcentral describes it as "partial 16S ribosomal RNA". It matches the Rfam family "Bacterial small subunit ribosomal RNA", at positions 29 to 507 of the family's 1533-position model. The record is from RNAcentral.